Molecule: ribosomal RNA, 828 nt
Filed under: uncultured bacterium
Lineage: Bacteria
Description: bacterial SSU rRNA
Rfam family: Bacterial small subunit ribosomal RNA
Source: RNAcentral
GGAUUAGGCAUGCAAGUCGAACGAGGGAGUGUUUCGAAAGGGACACAAACCGAGUGGCGUAAGGGCGAGUAAUGCAUUGAUAACCUGCCUUUGAGAUGGGGAUAACAACGUCUCGCAAGAGACUUCCGAAAGGGUUGCUAAUACCCAAUAAGACUGUUGGUGCGGAGGUGCUGAGAGUCAAAGGUCUGGAGUGAAAGCUCCAUUUGCUCAGAGAGGGGUCAAUGUCCUAUCAGCUAGUUGGUAGGGUAAAGGCCUACCAAGGCGAAGACGGGUAGCCGGCCUGAGAGGGUGGUCGGCCGCAUUGGGACUGAGACACUGCCCAGACUCCUACGGGAGGCUGCAGUCGAGAAUCUUUCGCAAUGCCCGCAAGGGUGACGAAGCGACGCCGCGUGUGGGAAGAAGGCCUUCGGGUUGUAAACCACUGUCGGGAGUUAAGAAAGGUGUACGGGUAAAUAGUCCGUGCAUUUGACAAAAGCUCCGGAGGAAGCCACGGCUAACUCUGUGCCAGCAGCCGCGGUAAUACAGAGGUGGCAAGCGUUGUUCGGAAUUAUUGGGCGUAAAGAGCACGUAGGCGGCCCUGCAAGUCAGCUGUGAAAGCCUCCUGCUUAACGGGAGAAGUGCAGUUGAAACUACGGGGCUAGAGUGCGGAAGGGGAGAGUGGAACUUCUGGUGGAGCGGUGAAAUGCGUAGAUAUCAGAAGGAACACCGGCGGCGAAAGCGGCUCUCUGGUCCGUAACUGACGCUGAGGUGCGAAAGCCAGGGGAGCAAACGGGAUUAGAUACCCCGGUAGUCCUGGCCGUAAACGAUGGGCACUAAGUAGAGGGGUUU